RNAcentral lists this small nuclear RNA (104 nucleotides) under Castor canadensis (American beaver). Lineage: Eukaryota; Metazoa; Chordata; Mammalia; Rodentia; Castoridae. The record is from RNAcentral.
GUGCUCACUUUGGCAGCACACAUACUAAAAUUGGAAUGAUACAGAGCUUAGUCUGGCCCCCGUGAGAGGAUAACAUGCAAAUUUGUGAAGCAUUCCAUUUUUUA